GGAAGGAUCAUUACCGAAUUGUCGACACGAGUUGUUGCUGGUCCUCAAUCGGGGACACGUGCACACUCUGUUUACACAUCCACUCACACCUGUGCACCCUCCAUAGUUCUGCAGCCUGGGGGCUCUCUGUUCCCUGCCGUGGUUCUAUGUAUUUACACAUACACACAGUAGUUAAGUCUCAUGGAAUGCAUACCGCGUUUAACGCAAUAUAAUACAACUUUCAGCAACGGAUCUCUUGGCUCUCGCAUCGAUGAAGAACGCAGCGAAAUGCGAUAAGUAAUGUGAAUUGCAGAAUUCAGUGAAUCAUCGAAUCUUUGAACGCACCUUGCGCCCUUUGGCUAUUCCGAAGGGCAUGCCUGUUUGAGUAUCAUGAACACCUCAACUCUCGUGGCUUUGCCAUGAUGAGCUUGGACUUUGGGGGUCUUGCUGGCCUGCGGUCAGCUCCUCUCAAAUGAAUUAGCUUGCCAGUGUUUGGUGGCAUCACGGGUGUGAUAACUAUCUACGCUUGUGGUUUUCCACCAGGUAACCUUCAGUGAUGAAGGUUCUCUGGAGCUCAUAAACGUCUCUCCUCAGCGAGGACAGCUCUUUGAACGUUUGAUCUCAAAUCAGGUAGGACUACCCGCUGAACUUAAGCAUAUCAAUAAGCGGAGGAAAAGAAACUAACAAGGAUUCCCCUAGUAACUGCGAGUGAAGCGGGAAGAGCUCAAAUUUAAAAUCUGGCGUGCCUCUGGUCGUCCGAGUUGUAGUCUGGAGAAGCGUU
This 760-nucleotide unclassified non-coding RNA is filed under the name uncultured Thelephoraceae. Its description in RNAcentral is "sequence contains ITS1, 5.8S rRNA gene, ITS2". The stretch from base 216 to 370 matches the Rfam family "5.8S ribosomal RNA". The record is from RNAcentral. Lineage: Eukaryota; Fungi; Basidiomycota; Agaricomycetes; Thelephorales; Thelephoraceae.